GUUUAGUGGCGGACGGGUGAGUAACACGUGAGCAACCUGCCCAGAAGAAAGGGAUAGCUCGAGGAAACUCGAAUUAAUACCAUAUGUGAUCCUGUGAAGCAUUUCGCAGGAAUGAAAGAUGCCUUCGGGUGUCACUUCUGGAUGGGCUCGCGGCCUAUCAGUUAGUUGGUGAGGUAACGGCUCACCAAGGCAAUGACGGGUAGCUGGUCUGAGAGGACGACCAGUCACACUGGAACUGAGACACGGUCCAGACACCUACGGGUGGCAGCAGUCGAGAAUCAUUCGCAAUGGGGGAAACCCUGACGGUGCGACGCCGCGUGGAGGAUGACGGUCUUCGGAUUGUAAACUCCUGUCAUCGAAGAGUAAGGCUUAUGUAUUAAUAGUAUGUAAGAUUGAUAGUAUUCGAAGAGGAAGGGACGGCUAACUUCGUGCCAGCAGCCGCGGUAAUACGAAGGUCCCAAGCGUUGUUCGGAAUCACUGGGCGUAAAGGGAGCGUAGGCGGUGAGGUAAGUCAGAUGUGAAAUUCCAGGGCUCAACCCUGGAACUGCAUCCGAUACUGCCUUACUAGAGUAGUGGAGGGGCAUCUGGAAUUCACGGUGUAGCAGUGAAAUGCGUAGAGAUCGUGAGGAACACUAGUGGCGAAGGCGAGAUGCUGGACACUUACUGACGCUGAGGCUCGAAGGCCAGGGUAGCGAAAGGGAUUAGAUACCCCUGUAGUCCUGGCAGUAAACGGUGCACGUUUGGUGUGAGAAGGUUCGACCCUUUUCGUGCCGGAG
This 776-nucleotide ribosomal RNA is filed under the name Verrucomicrobia bacterium SCGC AAA166-J15. Its description in RNAcentral is "bacterial SSU rRNA". It matches the Rfam family "Bacterial small subunit ribosomal RNA", at positions 90 to 851 of the family's 1533-position model. The record is from RNAcentral. Lineage: Bacteria; Pseudomonadati; Verrucomicrobiota.